AUACUUACCUGGCAGGGGAGAUACCAUGAUCACGAAGGUGGUUUUCCCAGGGCGAGGCUUAUCCAUUGCACUCCGGAUGUGCUGACCCCUGCGAUUUCCCCAAAUGUGGGAAACUCGACUGCAUAAUUUAUGGUAGUGGGGGACUGCGUUCGCGCUUUCCCCUG
Molecule: small nuclear RNA, 164 nt
Filed under: Bison bison bison
Lineage: Eukaryota; Metazoa; Chordata; Mammalia; Artiodactyla; Bovidae
Description: U1 spliceosomal RNA (ENSBBBG00000000981.1)
Rfam family: U1 spliceosomal RNA
About the family: U1 is a small nuclear RNA (snRNA) component of the spliceosome (involved in pre-mRNA splicing). Its 5' end forms complementary base pairs with the 5' splice junction, thus defining the 5' donor site of an intron. There are significant differences in sequence and secondary structure between metazoan and yeast U1 snRNAs, the latter being much longer (568 nucleotides as compared to 164 nucleotides in human).
Source: Rfam by way of RNAcentral